UACGUAGGGCGCAAGCGUUAUCCGGACUUAUUGGGCGUAAAGAGCUCGUAGGCGGUUUGUCGCGUCUGCCGUGAAAGUCCGGGGCUCAACUCCGGAUCUGCGGUGGGUACGGGCAGACUAGAGUGAUGUAGGGGGAGACUGGAAUUCCUGGUGUAGCGGUGAAAUGCGCAGAUAUCAGGAGGAACACCGAUGGCGAAGGCAGGUCUCUGGGCAUUAACUGACGCUGAGGAGCGAAAGCAUGGGGAGCGAACAGG
This 254-nucleotide ribosomal RNA is filed under the name uncultured bacterium. Its description in RNAcentral is "partial 16S ribosomal RNA". It matches the Rfam family "Bacterial small subunit ribosomal RNA", at positions 524 to 776 of the family's 1533-position model. The record is from RNAcentral.